CGCGUAGGCGGUUUAGCGAGUGUGAUGUGAAAGCCCGGGCUUAACCUGGGAAGUGCAUCGCAAACGGCUAGACUAGAGUAGAUGAGAGGGUGAUGGAAUUUCCGGUGUAGCGGUGAAAUGCGUAGAGAUCGGAAGGAACGUCGAUGGCGAAGGCAGUCACCUGGCAUCAUACUGACGCUGAGGCGCGAAAGCGUGGGGAGCAAACA
This 206-nucleotide ribosomal RNA is filed under the name uncultured bacterium. RNAcentral describes it as "partial 16S ribosomal RNA". It matches the Rfam family "Bacterial small subunit ribosomal RNA", at positions 568 to 774 of the family's 1533-position model. The record is from RNAcentral.